CCGAAUUCUCCCGGAAAAAGGAAGUGAGUGGAUAAUCAUGGGAUCCAUAGAAGAGAAGGGAGCACUUGUCUCUCUACCUAAACACUCGUAUUGGUUUGACUUUUUGGCGUUUCUGUUAUUUGACAUCGUGUUCUUUUUUUUCAUGUUCUUCAUUGUUCCAUGACGGCCAGGCAUGAAGAAAUGGGUUGCCCGGACCAAACAUUUGUUGAUAAGCAUCACCGGGAACACAGAGAAUGACAUCUGCCUUCGCCCUCUGCCUUAACCAGACCUGAAGCCAAGCCAGUACAAAGUGAAAUGCAAUCCUCAAGCUUCCGUUCCCUGAAGCCAUUUUGUAACAUGGGAUGUGCCCUUCAUUCAUUCAAUGGAAAUUGGCUAUGUUUAAACCGACAUUUCUAUUUACAUUCCCUGCUGUCAAUUGUUCUUGUACUGUUAACAAACACUUGACAUGACAUGAUUUAUUGAAGGCUGCACCUGCCAAGGUUUGGCAACAGAUGCUGAAAAAGAUGACUAAUGUGUGUGAUGAUGGUGGUGGUGGUGGUGGUGGAUACUGUUGUUGGGUUACCUAUUAUUGAAUGUUUAAAUCUUCAGAGAAUGCUGAAUGAUUGUGUGAAUGGAAUGUUAUUUUCAACGAGCUACAGUAUAAAAGCUUUAAAUUAAUAAAUUAUAUUUUCCAUGCA
Molecule: long non-coding RNA, 677 nt
Organism: Clupea harengus (Atlantic herring)
Lineage: Eukaryota; Metazoa; Chordata; Actinopteri; Clupeiformes; Clupeidae
Source: RefSeq, a predicted model, not a curated record